AACGAACGCUGGCGGCAUGCCUAACACAUGCAAGUCGAACGAGACCUUCGGGUCUAGUGGCGCACGGGUGCGUAACGCGUGGGAACCUGCCCUUAGGUUCGGAAUAACUCCCCGAAAGGGGUGCUAAUACCGGAUAAUGUCUUCGGACCAAAGAUUUAUCGCCUUUGGAUGGGCCCGCGUUGGAUUAGCUAGUUGGUAGGGUAAAAGCCUACCAAGGCGACGAUCCAUAGCUGGUCUGAGAGGAUGAUCAGCCACACUGGGACUGAGACACGGCCCAGACCCCUACGGGAGGCAGCAGUGGGGAAUGUUGGACAGGGGGCGAAAGCCUGAACCAGCAAUGCCGGGUGAGGGAUGAAGGCCUUAGGGUGGAAAAGCUCUUUUACCCGGGAUGAUAAUGACGUAACCGGGAAAAUAAGCCCCGGCAAACCCCUG
This 432-nucleotide ribosomal RNA is filed under the name uncultured bacterium. RNAcentral describes it as "partial 16S ribosomal RNA". It matches the Rfam family "Bacterial small subunit ribosomal RNA", at positions 29 to 506 of the family's 1533-position model. The record is from RNAcentral.